Molecule: ribosomal RNA, 461 nt
Filed under: uncultured bacterium
Lineage: Bacteria
Description: partial 16S ribosomal RNA
Rfam family: Bacterial small subunit ribosomal RNA
Source: RNAcentral
CCUACGAGAGGCAGCAGUGAGGAAUAUUGGUCAAUGGGCGAGAGCCUGAACCAGCCAAGUCGUGUGAAGGAUGACGGCCCUACGGGUUGUAAACUUCUUUUGUCAGGGAGCAAUUGGGUCCACGCGUGGGCUUAGCGAGAGUACCUGAAGAAAAAGCCUAGGCUAACUCCGUGCCAGCAGCCGCGGUAAUACGGAGGAUGCGAUCGUUAUCUGGCUUUAUUGGGUUUAAAGGGUGCGUAGGCGGGAUAGCAAGUCGGCGGUAAAAAUUAGGGGCUCAACCCCGUCGUGCCGUUGAAACUGAUGUUCUUGAGUGGGGGAGAAGGAGGCGGAAUGCGUGGGGUAGCGGUGAAAUGCAUAGAUAUCCCGCAGAACUCCGAUUGCGAAGGCAGCAUACCGGCGCCCAACUGACGCUGAAGCACGAAAGCGUGGGUAUCGAACAGGAUUAGAUACCCCUGGUAGUC